UUUGCCUACGGGGCGCAGCAGUGAGGAAUAUUGGUCAAUGGACGCAAGUCUGAACCAGCCAAGUAGCGUGCAGGAUGACGGCCCUCCGGGUUGUAAACUGCUUUUAGUUGGGAAUAAAAGGGGGCUCGUGAGCCCCGUAUUGUAUGUACCAUCAGAAAAAGGACCGGCUAAUUCCGUGCCAGCAGCCGCGGUAAUACGGAAGGUCCGGGCGUUAUCCGGAUUUAUUGGGUUUAAAGGGAGCGUAGGCCGGCUUUUAAGAAAAAUGUGACAGUCCGCGGCUCAACCGUGGAAUUGCAGUUUAAACU
RNAcentral lists this ribosomal RNA (305 nucleotides) under uncultured bacterium. RNAcentral's name for it is "bacterial SSU rRNA". It matches the Rfam family "Bacterial small subunit ribosomal RNA", at positions 334 to 634 of the family's 1533-position model. The record is from RNAcentral.